RNAcentral lists this ribosomal RNA (253 nucleotides) under uncultured bacterium. RNAcentral describes it as "partial 16S ribosomal RNA". It matches the Rfam family "Bacterial small subunit ribosomal RNA", at positions 524 to 776 of the family's 1533-position model. The record is from RNAcentral.
GACGUAGGGCGCGAGCGUUGUCCGGAUUUAUUGGGCGUAAAGAGCUCGUAGGCGGCUUGUCGCGUCGUCCGUGAAAACCUGCAGCUCAACUGCAGGCUUGCGGUCGAUACGGGCAGGCUAGAGUUCGGUAGGGGAGACUGGAAUUCCUGGUGUAGCGGUGAAAUGCGCAGAUAUCAGGAGGAACACCGAUGGCGAAGGCAGGUCUCUGGGCCACUACUGACGCUGAGAAGCGAAAGCAUGGGGAGCGAACAGG